CUGGCUCAGGACGAACGCUGGCGGCGUGCCUAAUACAUGCAAGUCGAGCGGACCUCUUCGGAGGUCAGCGGCGGACGGGUGAGGAACACGUGGGUAAUCUGCCUUUCAGACCGGAAUAACGCCCGGAAACGGGCGCUAAUGCCGGAUACGCCCGCGAGGAGGCAUCUUCUUGCGGGGAAAGGCCCAAAUGGGCCGCUGAGAGAGGAGCCCGCGGCGCAUUAGCUGGUUGGCGGGGUAACGGCCCACCAAGGCGACGAUGCGUAGCCGACCUGAGAGGGUGACCGGCCACACUGGGACUGAGACACGGCCCAGACUCCUACGGGAGGCAGCAGUAGGGAAUCUUCCGCAAUGGGCGCAAGCCUGACGGAGCAACGCCGCGUGAGCGAAGAAGGCCUUCGGGUUGUAAAGCUCUGUUGCUCGGGGAGAGCGGCAUGGGGAGUGGAAAGCCCCAUGCGAGACGGUACCGAGUGAG
Molecule: ribosomal RNA, 472 nt
Filed under: Alicyclobacillus acidocaldarius
Lineage: Bacteria; Bacillati; Bacillota; Bacilli; Caryophanales; Alicyclobacillaceae
Description: bacterial SSU rRNA
Rfam family: Bacterial small subunit ribosomal RNA
Source: RNAcentral